This 326-nucleotide ribosomal RNA is filed under the name uncultured eukaryote. RNAcentral's name for it is "partial 18S ribosomal RNA". It matches the Rfam family "Eukaryotic small subunit ribosomal RNA", at positions 1470 to 1796 of the family's 1831-position model. The record is from RNAcentral.
CCCUUAGAUGUUCUGGGCUGCACGCGCGCUACACUGAUGCACUCAACGAGUUUACGACCUUGCCCGAUAGGGUUGGGUAAUCUUUUUAAAAUGCAUCGUGAUGGGGAUAGAUUAUUGCAAUUAUUAAUCUUCAACGAGGAAUUCCUAGUAAGCGCGAGUCAUCAGCUCGUGCUGAUUACGUCCCUGCCCUUUGUACACACCGCCCGUCGCUCCUAUCGAUUGAGUGCUCAGGUGAAUAAUUCGGACUGCAGCAAUGUUUGGAUCCCGAACGUUGCAGCGGAAAGUUUAGUGAACCUUAUCACUUAGAGGAAGGAGAAGUCGUAACA